This is a small nuclear RNA of Suricata suricatta (meerkat), 107 nucleotides long. The record is from Ensembl. Lineage: Eukaryota; Metazoa; Chordata; Mammalia; Carnivora; Herpestidae.
GUACUGGCUUCAGCAGCACACGUACAAAAAUUGGAAUGACACAGAAGAGAUUAGCAUAGCCCCUGCACAAGGAUGACAUGCAAAUUCAUGAAGCUUUCGGAUUUAAA